CGAGUUCUUAAAAGAAACAAGGCAUCCAAAUAUGAUUAAAGUUGACACUGUUUUGUUAGCUCUGUGCAUGAAAGUUUGAGUUGCCAGCAACAGAAUGUGAUAGUGAUUGCUGAUUUUGGCUUUGUCUCAGGUUUUUGGUAUUUGGGUUGUUCUUGUUUUCUUCUAAUUGGCUCUGUAUUUUCCCCAGAGUUAUUUUGCUCACUACACAAUUUUGGUCCCAUGGCUAGAGGUCAGAGAACAAAAGGACUCAGCAAGUCUUGCCUUCUGCUCAUAGUGAUAGCUGGUAUCGAGAGGUUUGCUUUCAAAGGGGUGGCAUCAAAUUUGGUAACUUAUCUCACAGAUGUAGUUAAGAUGAGCAAUUCUGAUGCAGCCAAGACUGUUAAUAAUUGGUGUGGAUUCACAUCCAUGUUACCACUUUUAGUUGCAUCUCUUGCUGAUUCUUUUUGGGACAAGUAUCCUACCAUCUUAGCCUCUUCUUUCUUCUAUGUAGUGGGACUUGUGGCAUUGACAUCAACAGCUUUGACUUGGGCAUGGUAUCCCUCCAACAACCUAAGCUCUUCAUUCCUGUUUUGGUCUCUCUGUUUGAUCUCACUAGGCCAAGGUGCAUACAACCCAUCUUUACAAGCCUUUGGAGCAGAUCAACUUGAAAGUGACGAUGAACUUCCUUGCACAAAAGAUGACCAUAAGUCAGAUAAAAAGAGUAUGUUCUUUCAAUGGUGGUAUUUUGGUGUUUGUGGUGGCAGCCUCUUAGGUGUCACAGUCAUGUCCUAUAUCCAAGACACGUUUGGCUGGGUUCUGGGAUUUGCUAUCCCAACAAUUUCAAUGGUUACUUCAAUUAAAUUAUUCUGGUGUGGUGGCAGAAUGUAUGUAUAUAAACAGGAUGGUAAUAACAUCGGUAAAAGCCCUUUUCAAAGUUUUGUUCAGGCGAUUAAAGAAACUGCAUCAAAAUUAAUCAAUAGCAGAAUCAAAUUAUCAAGCAGCAACUCUGAAGUUGUUGAGCUAGAGCUCCAGGAGAAACCUCUUUGUCCUGAGAAUUUAGGCAAGGUCAAUGGCUUGAAUGACAACUCCAGGAAUGGCAUUUAUCCUCUUGAAAAUGCAAAAGUUGUACUAAGGCUUGUGCCUAUGUGGACAAUGCUCCUGAUGUUUGCAGUCAUUUUUCAACAACCUGCCACAUUCUUUACCAAGCAAGGUGUGACAAUGAAGAGGAAUAUUGGCAGCAAUUUCAAGAUCCCUCCGGCUACACUGCAGAGUGCUAUUACAGUGUCUAUAAUCCUUUUGAUGCCACUAUAUGAUAGAAUUUUUAUCCCAAUUGCACGUAUCAUAACUCGUGACCAAAAGGGUAUCAAUGUAAUGCAAAGAAUGGGGAUUGGAAUGGUCCUGUCUAUAAUAGCUAUGGUGAUUGCUGCACUGGUUGAAACAAAAAGGCUUGAGAUGAGCAAAAGAAUGCCCCAUUCUGAAACAGUUCCGCUGAGCAUAAUUUGGCUGCUACCUCAGUACAUUCUGCUAGGCAUUUCAGACAUCUUCACAGUUGUUGGGAUGCAAGAGUUUUUCUACAGUGAAGUUCCUGGAAGCAUGAAGACUAUGGGGAUUGCACUGUAUACUAGCGUAUUUGGAGUAGGAAGUUUCUUGAGUACCCUGUUGAUUUCUCUGGUAGAAAUUUUCACCAGAUCAAGAGGGAGGCAGAGCUGGUUCUCUGACGACAUGAGAGAAGUUCACCUGGACAAAUACUACUGGCUUCUAGCCUCGUUAAGUGCACUGAGCAUGCUAUUUUAUGUCAUUUUGUGCAAAUUUCACGGAAGUAGGAGUGAAUUGGAUAGUGAGAACUGUAAAUGAUAUGUUUGUUUUAAAUUUUCAUGCAGUUUUUGUCUAAAGAAUUUCUUCGCUCCACUGUAUAAAAAUGUAAUGUGUUUCUGCUUUUGAUGGUUUAGCCAGACAAUCCUAACAUGAAAUUAUGGGAACAGAAAUGAAGGAAUAUAAA
This 1978-nucleotide unclassified non-coding RNA is filed under the name Hevea brasiliensis (rubber tree). The record is from RNAcentral. Lineage: Eukaryota; Viridiplantae; Streptophyta; Magnoliopsida; Malpighiales; Euphorbiaceae.